GACGAACGCUGGCGGCGCGCCUAACACAUGCAAGUCGAACGGAGUUAUUUCAGCAGAAGCUUUCGGGUGGACGCAGGGAUAACUUAGUGGCGAACGGGUGAGUAACACGUGAGGAACCUGCCCUGGAGUGGGGGAUAACAGUUGGAAACGACUGCUAAUACCGCAUAAGCCCACAGCACCGCAUGGUGCAGCGGGAAAAGGAGCAAUUCGCUUCAGGAUGGCCUCGCGUCCAAUUAGGUAGAUGGUGAGGUAACGGCCCACCAAGGCGACGAUCGGUAGCCGGACUGAGAGGUUGAACGGCCACAUUGGGACUGAGACACGGCCCAG
This 327-nucleotide ribosomal RNA is filed under the name uncultured bacterium. Its description in RNAcentral is "bacterial SSU rRNA". It matches the Rfam family "Bacterial small subunit ribosomal RNA", at positions 28 to 334 of the family's 1533-position model. The record is from RNAcentral.